GUCUAUCCCAAGUUACAGACGCUCAAGAAUUAUAUUUAUCCGAUUCUCGUACAUAAGAUAAAAGGAGUCAAAGAGGGUGAAAGAGCUCGGGCACAGCUAGCUCAUAGAGAUAAUCAAACUUCAAGUACGAGAUAAUGUGCAUGUGCGGCUACUUCCCAAUACAUGAAGGUAUGCGAGUCAUCUGACAUGAAAAAACCAGAAGCUGCAGGCUGCAACCGAUCACAGCGGGUAUAUAUGCAUUUUGCCAUUUCAACAUAUUUAGUUAGAGAUCGAUCGCUUGCCGUCCGGUACGUAAUUAACUCUACCCAUACUGUUUUAGAGUCAUGAAAAGACGGUUUAAUUCUUGGGUUUCAAGCAAGAACGUACGUACAGUAGAGAAAUUAAACAUUUGAACUUGAAGUUUCGGAUCGUAUCAGACAUAACCAAACUUGAAGUUCUGGAUUUUGAAGUAAUUCUAUGAUUUUAAGUACUAGAAUUCAUAGAUUUGAAGUAAACUUGUACGUAAAGGCAUAAACUUGUGUGGUACUAUGUAUCGAUGAUCUUGUGUACGUAUAUACUUGAUCGUAUAUAUGUAAGAUUAUGUAGACAAUAUAAUGUUUGUGAGAACCUUGAACACAUUAUCACCCCACAAAUAUAUAAUGCAAUCUACAUAUCUCUUUAGGCUUUACUGCUCCCCUUUCUCCGCCUUCUGCGUUAGUUCUUCUAUCAAUCUAGUCCAACUCCCACCCAACAAGUUCUAGUGAGUACUAAAUACUUAUUUCCUAGAUGCCUUUCUUGCUAGGAAUGUCUUUUCCAUAGGAUCACCUCCAAGGCUCCAAGAAGCCACAAGUUCACAUGCCCCGCCUAACUCAUGGAAAUUAGAAGCAAAAAGGAAAACACGUACACUCUACAUAUAUAGGUAAUUUGCGUAUCAAAUAUCGAAUCUCAUCUAAUAUACUCGAUCAAGAUUGGCUAUAUGUGAACCAGUUCAUCCGGGUUUGAUAUAGCGGGCAGGGGUUGGUUACGUUAAACUGAAAUAAGUAACAAUAAUUAACACUUACUAUGCCAUAAAUUAUAGUGAGCUACAAAAACCUAAUCUAAUUAAGCGAAUAAAUUAAAGCAGGGAACUAUUUCUAACCUAAUUUUUUAUGAAUAGCUAAUAGUAUACCUUGUAAAUGCUAGUUAGUGGCCUAGCUAAUAGUAUACCUUUUAUUAAUUAUGAAGGGAUGCAAAUUAAUCCUACAAAAAGAUAAUGGGAUUAUUGAGAGUCGAAAAUAUGUGUGUAUGGGUAAAAGUAAGACUAAUACCAAAUGCCUUAUUCCAUAUUAUUGAACAAUUAUAAUGUCACUGUGUAUAAUUAUAUAUGUAGAACGAUGGAAAUUUACAUCUCCAUAGUUUCUUCUAUAAUAACAACAAAUUAAGCGCUUUUGAUGCAUGCACUACAUAUUCUUGAUUACAUAAUGACACAACCCUUUCAAUUUCAUGGAUUCUUUAUGCCUUUGCUUGAAGUAGAACACAGUGUUGAGUCUAGAGGGUGAUCAUUGACAUAGUGGCUAGGAGCAGAAGAGCGACGAAAUCCUUUUGGCAAGCAACCCUCCACGAUGUUGGGGUUUCCGAAAACUGUAGGAACACUGCCCUUAUUAGGUCUGAGGGAUACGAACGUCGAAGGGUUUGAAUUAUAUGAUUGAUCCACUGAUCUCAUCGAAGCCAUAACUCUAGCUUCCGAGCUCACUUGGGUGAGAGGAGGAGUCAAGAGAAUCAACAAGAUAUAGAGCAGCACGGCCAUCAGGUAAGAAGCAGUACCACUACAGAAGGUCAUUGCGAUCAGAUUCUGGGUAAGUUUGAGCUUAUAUAUGGAAGAAGAAGAAGAAGAAGAAGAAGAAGAAGAAGAAGUAGAAGAAGAAGGUGGAACGUUGGAGAGUAAGAGGGAAGCCUUAAAUAGGGUCAUGAGAAUCGAGUAGUACCAUAUUGUGGGAAACGUAGCUAGAUAUGACGACCAACUACUCAGGCUAGCUAGCAAAGCUUGCAUGCUGGUUUUUGCACUUGUUGGUAGCUAAGCUACGUUUAAUUUGUUCACUUUUUGACAAGUAUAAUGCUGGCAUGGUAAGGAUGCCCGUGCACUCCAUCACUCUUUUGCCAAAGCUUUCGUCAUGACAAAGUCAGCCUCUUUGAUUUUCCUCAUCAUUUUUUGUCAACAUGAGAUCACAGUGAUAUAGAUAAAACUAAUAAUGUUAUAUAUGAUUUUAAAAUAGCAAGUUAUCGCAAUAUAUAGUUUAAGUUUCAUUUCAUAUCAAAAGAAUAAGCUUCAUUUCAUAUAAACAGUAUGAACAAAUUAACAACACGUCAAUGGGUUUUUAUUUUUUGUUUUUCUUUUAUAUGUAUCGAACUUAAAGAGAUGAAGCAUUUUGGAUUGAGAAUGUAAAAUAAAAAUUUAAAAUAUUGUAGUUUCACUUUAUGUAUGCAUAACACGAUACAAGAUUAACAACAAUUACGUAUACGAUGCCAUUUCAUUUAAGUUGAAAUGCAAAUUAAACCCUAGAAUCUCUUUAGUAAUCCGAUA
Molecule: long non-coding RNA, 2539 nt
Filed under: Fragaria vesca (wild strawberry)
Lineage: Eukaryota; Viridiplantae; Streptophyta; Magnoliopsida; Rosales; Rosaceae
Description: long non-coding RNA (FVES_LNC003778)
Source: RNAcentral